CACAGCUAGAUGGGUGAUUGGUGGCAGACUGAACAUAACAAUUUAAAAACCCCACCUCUUUUCCCAGCACGCUCUUCAAUUCAUAGCACUGUAAUGAGAGAGGCACAUUCAUUUAGACAAACAACUCUGCACAUUUUGUCCCAGCUAGCAUAAAGUGUUAAAUACAGUGGUCUGGAUGGGCAAUGCACAAAGACUUCCAAGUGCUUCUUGACAACUGGUGAAAUUAUGGCUUCACAACACUGAAUGCAAUAAAGCAAUCCUCUGAAAUGCAAGAGAAAAGGUCCAUGCUCAUGCUGUGAUCCUACAGAGCCCCAGAAUGGAGCUACACAUAAUGAGGCAAGCAGCAGAUUCUCAAUUCCUUGUCAUGAGGAAGGGAACAUUUACAACAUAAGGAAGAUCAAAGGUGCAUAGCUCUGCAUUACAAGAAAAAAACUACUCUUCUCCUAUCCAGGCUCCAAGAUGGGAAAACCAACUUCAGGAAGAAUUCUGAUUGCGGGAGGGGAAUAUAUUUACCUAAGAGAAUCAGCAAAUGUGAGAAGAGUUAAGCACCCCAUGAUGUCCUGUUGAUCUCCUGCUGCAUUCUUGUUAAUAAGCAAUAAUGUUCUUAGGAAAUUUUGCUGGUUCUCUUUAAGUAUCUUUAUUCUGCUAUUCAGCCAAAAAGGCUCCUCAGAUCAAUUUUAAAAAGUCAGUGUCUUCCCCAGAGACUUACGAUAACAAAACAUGUGACACAAAAGGAACAAAGGAUGAGGAAGGAUGAAGAAAGCCACUCAAGGGACAAAAUUCUUAAAAGUUAUGUACUAGUUCUUUUGACAACCAACUGGAACAAAAAUAACACAAGUAGAGCCAAAUCAAGCUAGUCUUUCAGCAGAGGCUAUGAAACUGGUCCUGCUUUCCAUCUGUCCCUCUUUUGCAGUCAAAUGGAGUGGACUGGGAAAAAAGAGGUUGGUUAUAUGGUGAGGAAAUUAACCUAUUUUGCUUUUCCCCAUGAAUAUUUAUUGAAACCCCUUAAUUUCAGGCUCUCACAUAUGGCAAAAACCACUGACAGCCCCAUCCUCUGGACUGUGUAUUCCUUUUUUAAAAAGUCCUAAUGCUGUUUAUUACAUGAAGUGGCAAUA
Pogona vitticeps (central bearded dragon) is the source of this 1115-nucleotide non-coding RNA. The record is from RefSeq and is a predicted model, not a curated record. Lineage: Eukaryota; Metazoa; Chordata; Lepidosauria; Squamata; Agamidae.